GUGCUCGCUUCGGCAGCAUAUAUAUUAAAACUGGAAUGAUACAGAGAUUAGCAUGGCCCCUGCGCAAGGAUGACACGCAAAUUUGUGAAGCAUUCCAUAUUUUU
Small nuclear RNA from Cavia porcellus (domestic guinea pig), 104 nucleotides. The record is from Ensembl. Lineage: Eukaryota; Metazoa; Chordata; Mammalia; Rodentia; Caviidae.